AUUGAACGCUGGCGGCAGGCCUAACACAUGCAAGUCGAGCGGUAGCACAGAGAGCUUGCUCUCGGGUGACGAGCGGCGGACGGGUGAGUAAUGUCUGGGAAACUGCCUGAUGGAGGGGGAUAACUACUGGAAACGGUAGCUAAUACCGCAUAACGUCGCAAGACCAAAGUGGGGGACCUUCGGGCCUCAUGCCAUCAGAUGUGCCCAGAUGGGAUUAGCUAGUAGGUGGGGUAACGGCUCACCUAGGCGACGAUCCCUAGCUGGUCUGAGAGGAUGACCAGCCACACCGGAACUGAGACACGGUCCAGACUCCUACGGGAGGCAGCAGUGGGGAAUAUUGCACAAUGGGCGCAAGCCUGAUGCAGCCAUGCCGCGUGUGUGAAGAAGGCCUUCGGGUUGUAAAGCACUUUCAGCGGGGAGGAAGGCGAUAAGGUUAAUAACCUUGUCGAUUGACGUUACCCGCAGAAGAAGCACCGGCUAACUCCGUGCCAGCAGCCGCAGAA
RNAcentral lists this ribosomal RNA (503 nucleotides) under uncultured bacterium. RNAcentral's name for it is "partial 16S ribosomal RNA". It matches the Rfam family "Bacterial small subunit ribosomal RNA", at positions 29 to 522 of the family's 1533-position model. The record is from RNAcentral.